CAACCGAGCGCAACCCUCAUCCUUAGUUGCCAUCGAUUGAGUUGGGAACUCUAAGGAAACUGCCUCGGUUAACGGGAGAAGGUGGGGAUGACGUCAAGUCCUCAUGGCCUUUAUGUCCAGGGCUACACACGUGCUACAAUGGGCGGAACAAAGGGUUGCAAUACCGCAAGGUGGAGCUAAUCUCAAAAAACCGCUCUCAGUUCAGAUUGGAGUCUGCAACUCGACUCCAUGAAGGCGGAAUCGCUAGUAAUCGCGGAUCAGCAUGCCGCGGUGAAUACCGUUCCCGGGCCUU
This 292-nucleotide ribosomal RNA is filed under the name uncultured delta proteobacterium. RNAcentral's name for it is "partial 16S ribosomal RNA". It matches the Rfam family "Bacterial small subunit ribosomal RNA", at positions 1089 to 1382 of the family's 1533-position model. The record is from RNAcentral. Lineage: Bacteria; Deltaproteobacteria.